AGCUAAAAGUUCCCUUUUAUUUUUAAGUGGUAUUAUUUUUUAAUUGGCAUGCGUGGCUCAGGCGUGUGAGCGUUGGCAUUGUGCACAUAAAUAUUAAAGAUCGUGGUUGUGAGGCUCCAGCGACAAGCCCCAGCCUGGCGGCCUCUGAGGAAAAAAGCCAGAGCUCAGCUCUGCUGCUUUUCUUCACUUUCGGAUGUGAAUCCUGCUGCUGCGUGCUGGUUUCAGAGCCUUUUCCAGAGCCAAUCCAUGUCCCCACCAUGGGCUCCAGCGUGUGCAGUGGGGCAGCCCACAUGUGUCCAAGGCUUGUCCGGAGAGGGCAGUUUCAAAGUGCUCUGCAGCCCAGGAAGUGAGUACAGCAGAGGCACAAGAUUGCAAGGAACUGCCCAGCUGUGUCCUCCAUGCAGUCUUCUGUAUGUGCAGAUGAAGAACUGCUCUGGCCGUGGAAUGAAGAGCCCUGGRUCUUUGGUGGCCAGAUUGUCCCCACCACAGCCAAAAGGACACAUGAGAUCCCAGUGUCAUCUGCUUUUCAGCUCCACGCUGACACUGGAAGAAUCAGCCAUUUUCCAGCUAAGGAGCCAUCUCGAGGUGUCGUCUGUGUCCUCCUUCCCCACCAGCAGAAAAUGAAAUCGUCAGCUGGGUGACCUGCCCCUGUCGAGGCUGCAGAACAGAACGAGCUGCYGCAACACCCUUAUCUCCAAGAGCGGAUUUCUCUGGGAAAUUCUCUCAAGGCCCGGCUGGAAUUUUUAGGGAAGAAUGAGGAAAAGAGAGAAUAAGUAAUUACUUGCAAACCAGUGUAACAGCUUGAGGUGCUGGAGACUGUAUGUGCUGUGCAACCUGGACGUCAGCCUGCCUGCCUACCUGCCUCUCUCAAUUUCUCUUUUCGUCGGUCUUGUCAGAGACGUUC
Molecule: long non-coding RNA, 904 nt
Organism: Nothoprocta perdicaria
Lineage: Eukaryota; Metazoa; Chordata; Aves; Tinamiformes; Tinamidae
Exons: 4
Source: RefSeq, a predicted model, not a curated record